Long non-coding RNA from Etheostoma spectabile (orangethroat darter), 111 nucleotides. RefSeq lists it as uncharacterized. The transcript has 3 exons. The record is from RefSeq and is a predicted model, not a curated record. Lineage: Eukaryota; Metazoa; Chordata; Actinopteri; Perciformes; Percidae.
GCACCGGGAAGUGAUGCCACCAUUGACCAACACAAACCUGGUCUAAAGUCAGUUCUGCAGCAUUUCAUUGUUAUUGUAACAGCGUAUCAAGUAAAAUAUGCCUAGGCUUAU